This 320-nucleotide ribosomal RNA is filed under the name Periclimenes diversipes. Its description in RNAcentral is "partial 12S ribosomal RNA". Lineage: Eukaryota; Metazoa; Arthropoda; Malacostraca; Decapoda; Palaemonidae. The record is from RNAcentral.
UCUUGAAAUUUAAAGGAUUUGGCGGUAUUUUAUUCUGCUUAGAGGAACCUGUCCUAUAAACGAUAAUCCACGCAAUAUUUCACUUUAGUUUGUAAUCAGUUUGUAUACCGCCAUAGUUUGGUUUUAUUUUAAAGUAGAUCCCAAGAUAGAUUACUAUCUAAGAUAUUAGGUCAAGGUGCAGCCAAUAUUAAAGGAGAGAUGGGUUACAAUAUAAUUAAUAUAUUUACGAAAGAGAAAGUUAAACUUUUCUUGGAAGGUGGAUUUAAUAGUAGCUAUAUUUUAAAAUGUUGUGGCGAACAUGCUCUAAAAUAUGUACACAU